Molecule: ribosomal RNA, 430 nt
Filed under: uncultured bacterium
Lineage: Bacteria
Description: bacterial SSU rRNA
Rfam family: Bacterial small subunit ribosomal RNA
Source: RNAcentral
AACGAACGCUGGCGGCGUGGAUAAGACAUGCAAGUCGAACGAGAGAAUUGCUAGCUUGCUAAUAAUUCUCUAGUGGCGCACGGGUGAGUAACACGUGAGUAACCUGCCCCCGAGAGCGGGAUAGCCCUGGGAAACUGGGAUUAAUACCGCAUAGUAUCGAAAGAUUAAAGCAGCAAUGCGCUUGGGGAUGGGCUCGCGGCCUAUUAGUUAGUUGGUGAGGUAACGGCUCACCAAGGCGAUGACGGGUAGCCGGUCUGAGAGGAUGUCCGGCCACACUGGAACUGAGACACGGUCCAGACACCUACGGGUGGCAGCAGUCGAGAAUCAUUCACAAUGGGGGAAACCCUGAUGGUGCGACGCCGCGUGGGGGAAUGAAGGUCUUCGGAUUGUAAACCCCUGUCAUGUGGGAGCAAAUUAAAAAGAUAGUACC